RNAcentral lists this ribosomal RNA (492 nucleotides) under uncultured bacterium. RNAcentral describes it as "partial 16S ribosomal RNA". It matches the Rfam family "Bacterial small subunit ribosomal RNA", at positions 29 to 507 of the family's 1533-position model. The record is from RNAcentral.
AGUGAACGCUGGCGGUAGGCCUAACACAUGCAAGUCGAACGGCAGCACAGUAAGAGCUUGCUCUUACGGGUGGCGAGUGGCGGACGGGUGAGGAAUACAUCGGAAUCUACUUUUUCGUGGGGGAUAACGUAGGGAAACUUACGCUAAUACCGCAUACGACCUACGGGUGAAAGCAAGGGAUCUUCGGACCUUGCGCGAUUGAAUGAGCCGAUGUCGGAUUAGCUAGUUGGCGGGGUAAAGGCCCACCAAGGCGACGAUCCGUAGCUGGUCUGAGAGGAUGAUCAGACACAUUGGAACCAGGAAACGGUCCAGAAUCCUAAGGUAAGCAGAGGUGGGGAAUAGUGGGGAAUGGGCGCCAGCAGGCCACAACCAAACCGCGCGGGUGAAGAAGGCCCUCGGGUUCUAAAGCCCUUUUUGGGGGAAAGAAAAGCAGUGGGUUAAUACCUCCCUGUCCUGACCGUACCCAAACAAUAAGCACCGGCUAACUUCGUG